Molecule: long non-coding RNA, 993 nt
Filed under: Lonchura striata (white-rumped munia)
Lineage: Eukaryota; Metazoa; Chordata; Aves; Passeriformes; Estrildidae
Description: domestica (Bengalese finch) lncRNA (ENSLSDG00000016021.1)
Source: RNAcentral
CAGCACAACUCGCUGUGAGCCCGGGCAAAGUUCUGCCAGUGCCCUCCUUCCAUUCCGGGUACGCUCGUGUCCCUUAAAGCAACCUCUGCUGCCCUGGGAAGCUCAGCCGGGCUCUGGAUCGCUGCAGGAAUUUUGUCAGGGGUUUGAUUAAGGUUUCAGUUCAAGGAGUUGUUAGGGAGUUGAUUUUCCAAGGUUUCAGUUCAAGGAGCUGUUAGGGAGUUGAUUUUCCAAGGUUUCAGUUCAAGGAGCUGUUAGGGAGUUGAUUUCCCAAGGUUUCAGUUCAAGGAGCUGUUAGGGAGUUGAUUUCCCAAGGUUUCAGUUCAAGGAGCUGUUAGGGAGUUGAUUUUCCAGCCCCUGGGAGCUGCUGGGUUUGCUCAGCAGCUCUGUGCUUUCUCUGAACAGCAGUUUUAAGCCUUUGCAGUUCGAGGACACCUUAAAUCUUUUGGUGGGCGAAAAGGAGCUGCCAGUGAUCUCCCAGCCUGAUGGGAAUCACGGACAGAGAUAAAACAAUUAAUGAAUUCAUUAGUUCUGCACGCAGCAUGUGGACUUUGGGUUUUUAUUCGGGUCUAAUCAACACUGACCACUCCAGGAACAGAUUUUGGAAGAAUUUGGCAGCUUUGCAGUCGACAGUUUCCCAAAGGAUUUGGUGGCAGCAUGGAUCAGCCACUGACAGCUGCAGGAGAUGGAACGGGGCGAAUCGCAGAAUCCUUUGUGGAAGACUCCAGGAUGGAGUCCAAGCUGUGAUUAGCGAGCCCUGCACGGAACACCGGCGGGAACGGACACCGGGAUGAGGAGGAGGGCGGUGCUGGACACGGCGUGACCUUGGUGGACACGGGGGUGAGGAUGGUGAUGGACACGGGGAUGGUGAUGAUGGACACGGGGAUAUGAUGAUGGACACAGGGAUAGGAUGAUGGACACGUGGGCACUGAUGAUGAUGAUGGACACGGGGAUGGUGAUGAUGGACACAGGGAUAGGAUGAUGGACACGUGGGCC